AUUGAACGCUGGCGGAAUGCUUUACACAUGCAAGUCGAACGGCAGCACGGGGCAACCUGGUGGCGAGUGGCGAACGGGUGAGUAAUACAUCGGAACGUGCCCAAUCGUGGGGGAUAACGUAGCGAAAGUUACGCUAAUACCGCAUACGAUCUACGGAUGAAAGCGGGGGAUCGCAAGACCUCGCGCGAGUGGAGCGGCCGAUGUCAGAUUAGGUAGUUGGUGGGGUAAAGGCUCACCAAGCCAACGAUCUGUAGCUGGUCUGAGAGGACGACCAGCCACACUGGAACUGAGACACGGUCCAGACUCCUACGGGAGGCAGCAGUGGGGAAUUUUGGACAAUGGGCGCAAGCCUGAUCCAGCCAUUCCGCGUGCAGGAUGAAGGCCUUCGGGUUGUAGACUGCUUUGUACGGAACGAAACGGCGGAGCUCUAAUACAGUUUGCUAAUGACGGUACCGUAAGAAUAAGCACCGGCUAACUACGUGCCAGCAGCCGCGGUAAU
Molecule: ribosomal RNA, 499 nt
Filed under: uncultured bacterium
Lineage: Bacteria
Description: bacterial SSU rRNA
Rfam family: Bacterial small subunit ribosomal RNA
Source: RNAcentral